Molecule: long non-coding RNA, 254 nt
Organism: Hypanus sabinus (Atlantic stingray)
Lineage: Eukaryota; Metazoa; Chordata; Chondrichthyes; Myliobatiformes; Dasyatidae
Exons: 3
Source: RefSeq, a predicted model, not a curated record
CUUGACUGGUGAUGACAGCAUGCAGUAUCUCAAGUGCCUGAUUACAGUCGGCCAAUCAUGCACACACACAAAAUGCCGGAGGAACUCAGCAGGUCAGGCGGCAUCUACAGUCUGGAAUUGAAUAAACAGUUGACAUUUCAGGUCUCGACCCUUCUUCAGGACUGAAAAUGAAGGGGGAAUAUGCCAGAAUACAAAGAUGGGGCAUGAAUAUUUUCUUUAUCUGAAAUGAAGGCACUAUUAUAUUGUUGAAAGUG